AGCACAUGUCACACGGCAUGAUUUUGAAACGCCGAAAGGUUCAGAUAUUUAACAUGACAAAUAUCAUCUGUGAUUCUCCCAGAUCACUAAUCACUAGCAUCUUUUGGUAAAUCAAAAUCAGGGCUAAAAUCGUGCAGUCUGAACUUGGCAUAACUUGUUGCAACUGUCUCUUAUCUCUUAAUUAUUAGCCAUCAUCCUAUCAGUCAUCUCUCGCUACCUCUCUGUUUAUGUGGAGAAGAACUGCGUGCGUACCUCAAGGCAGUCGUCGCAAAAUUUGAACCUGCUUUUCCAAUAUUUCAUUAGGAAGACACUAGGUUUUGUUCAAGUAAGUCAUGCAAAAUUCUGUUUCUGUUUUAAUGUUUCACUUUGUGUUCUUGAAAACCUUGUGUUGUGUUAUUUAGUAACAGCUUGAUGCACUUUGAUGUACAACAACCUAUUUUACACACCCAUUUCAACACACAUUUCAAAUUCACAUUUCCAUGACUAACUAGCAUAAAAUCUUACUAAAUUUUAGAAGCCUGCAAAUGUCUAACCAGUGAGUCAUAUGAAAAUUUUAUUUAUAACACUAUUUCUAUUCCAGUGCCUGGUUUCUUUUGUAUGAUUCAUGACAACAUUUACAUAUAUUGUCUUACAGUUAUGCCCAACUAACAAUAAGAAAUAAGAAAUUGUAAGUGAGAGGAGAGAGCGUAAACAUCGACAGUCGGUGUCCAUU
Puntigrus tetrazona (Sumatra barb) is the source of this 712-nucleotide long non-coding RNA. RefSeq lists it as uncharacterized. The record is from RefSeq and is a predicted model, not a curated record. NCBI's taxonomy places the organism in Eukaryota, Metazoa, Chordata, Actinopteri, Cypriniformes, Cyprinidae. The transcript is spliced from 2 exons.